Molecule: long non-coding RNA, 1583 nt
Filed under: Equus caballus (horse)
Lineage: Eukaryota; Metazoa; Chordata; Mammalia; Perissodactyla; Equidae
Description: lncRNA (ENSECAG00000052281.1)
Source: RNAcentral
UUUGUGAAGUACAGGUCUUCUGCCCUGAUAAGCCUCACCUCCCACAGGACCACACACGCCAUCAACACGGUCCUGGUCCAUGCACACUUCCCAACCCCCUGGAGCGUACCCUGACGCCACACUGCAGAGGCCCCCACCUCUGCACCAAUGCCCCCCACAGUUCACCUGGUCCUCACACAGACCCUACCCACAGAGUCGGAUACACUUGCCUGCCUGUAGAGGCUCCAGGCACCCAGUCAAUGCAGGCUGAAAAGUAGCCUGAGGGCUUGCUGCUGGGUGGACCAGUCCCUAGGGCGGGCUGCCUGCCCUGGCUGAACUGGAUUAAAUCUGUGCUCUAGUGGGUGUGGCAGACCCCUGGGCUAACAGACCAAGGGAUGAACUUCAAUGACGCCCACCGGGGUCUGUGUCAGCACGCCUGGACAAGUUCAGAACAAUGGCCCCCACCAAUGUCUCAGUCUCCAGAGAGGUCCCUCCUGUCACCAAGAUGCCCCCAGAGCCCACUAGGCAGGCCAAAGAAUUGCCUUGGAGGGCUGCAUAAACCACCAAGCACUCUAGGCCGGAUGGAACACGCUAGCACAAAUGCAAAAGGUCACCUUGGACUGGGCCGAGCUGGUGAAUGCCAAUGAGCUGGAGCUCCCUGAAACCUCGGCUUAUGCAUGUCAGGCAGCUAACAUCACCAUUGGGCGCAGGCCUCCACCUCUGCAGCCCACGCUGACCCACGUAGAAAGGGUUUGCCUCACUGAGGGACCCCUUCAGAAUUGUUCACAUGGGAACCUGUCCAUCCAGGGUUCUCAACCUGCUAAAAGCUCUGGCCAGGCCCUUUUGCAAAUUAGCUUUUUUUCUGCAUAUAACCAUCUACAGAUUAGGUUUUUCCCUCCCUGACAUGAGGAAAAACAAUAACAGGGAGGCUCACGAAACUGCAGAAUCAUGGAACACAGCUCUCAGUGCCCUUUCUACAGACACACCCUCUCAGCUCCACGCAGGAGUCCAAUUCUUCACUGCUCCCAGGGCUUUUUGCCCAGAAGUGAACUUGAAAGAAGUAGGAACAUAAAGAUCCACAUGUCAACAGGUCUACAGAACAUCCUCAGAAUGUCAUUAGAAUGGGAGGCCCAACACCCCCUAAAUGCUAACAUCUCCACCCCAAUCCCAUUGCAUUGGCCCAAGUCAGUAGAGAACUUGAACUUCUACUAAAAUGCACACCUUCCUUGGAAAGAUUUCCCUCCUGGUUAAGUAUCAGCAUCUCUCUGGGAGUCUGUAGUGUGUAGAGAGACUGCGUACAUUCAAAUCCAGGUUCCAGCACUUACUAAUUAGGUGAACUUGGUGUGUUCUUGAACUCCCCUCAGCCUCAGUGUCUCCAUCAGUAAAAUGGAACUUAUAACAAUAUCUACCUCAUAGGAUGCUGUGUGGAUUAAUCAAGUCAACUCAUAUAAAGUGCUUGGAAAGGUGCCUGACACAUAGUUAGUGCUCAAUAAAUGUACUUAUUUUAUUCUCUAGAAGCAGGGUUUGAUUAGGAAUGGGACCCUUCUGAGAAGAAGGGACAGAGACGAGGGUGGAACAGAACACAGAAAAGGAAAAGCUGGGGG